CUUCAUUGCUUGUUUGGAACAUUCACAAAGCUAAUCCAGAGAGGGUGAGAACUAAGGUGCCCUGGGGCCUUUGCUCCUCAGGCAUGGGUGGGGCUGGAAGCUGGGGGAAGGGGAGAAGAGAGGAGGAAGCAAAGCCCGUGGGCACAUCCUGGUGGCAUGGAGGGGACUGGAACUGCGAGGAAGAGGGAGUGAAAGGGUGGCUUUGGGCAGGAGGCAGGACCCCAGUUUUCAGAGGGGAAGGAGGGCAGGGGCAAGGAUGCUGGAGGAUGCUGGCAACUGUUGAGGGGAAAGGUUGGUGGGAGAUCAUUUCCUUUGGGAUCACGGCCAACUCUGAAGGAAGCCUGGGGUCACCUGCUGACACUGCGGUGCAGCAGAGGUUGAUGCAAGGAGGGUCCAAACUCACUCUCCCCCGAAGGGUUCACUGUCCUGUGUGCAUGUUCUUCUCAAGGUACAGGGUCGGGGGCACAAGGAACAGGGACCGUUGUCCCCAAGUUAUUGUGCAUCCCUGUGGGGGCCUCCAAUGCUGAAAGCACUACAGCAGGUCUGGUUUGAGGCUGCAGAUCAGACUCUUUCUCUCUCUGAGGCAGGAGCACCAUUCUGCUCUUUUCCUCUGUGAGGUAACCUAGGGACGUUAUCGUCCAUUACUCAUUUACAGACGUUAACAUGACUCCCUGCUCUGAGCAUCCUGUGUGCCAGGCUGGCCCUUCGUAUUCAUCUUGUCCCUUCACUCUGCCCUGUUGAGGAAGGAGGGAUCACUGCUGUCCCCACUCUGCAGCUGAGGAGGCCAGGGCAGGACAGGGAGGGAAAGCACCCAGGGGUGCUCAGCUGCCAACAGAGGCUAGGCUCUUGAGACUGGCUGUGGCCUCCUGCUGUAUCCAUGUGCUGUGUCUCCUGGGGCCAUGUGAUCACUCGUUAUCCAGAAGUGCAUCCCUGAAGACAGGUUAGAAAUUGUAGGUGUGGGUACCGCAGGACCAAGAGCCUUCUCCCUCGGGCCCUGUCAGGGAUGCUGAGUCCACAACACCAAUGAGCUCUGGCCUGCUGCCCAGUCCUGUCCUUCAUUCCCAUCACCGGAGCUGCCUGGGAGCCAAUGCUGGUGCCAACCCACUGUUGAGGCCUGGGGUCAGGGUGCAGAGCAGGCAAUGGGGAACCACAUUCAAGCGACUUGGAGUAAGCAGGCACUUUCUCUCCCAGGCGGAGGCAGAGAACGCGGUGAAAGGAAGGGUCAAACGAAUUGAAUUUGAAUCCAGGCCUCGGUUUUCUCUAGUUCUACAUCCAGGUGCUAAGUCAGGCAUUCUUCCUGGGUCUCAGUUUCUCCGUCUGUGAUAUGGGGGGAAUAUUUUUCAGGGGUACUGCACAAACCCAGACCCCAAGAGGCCCCUCUCCAUCGUGAGGAUGUAACAACAAUGACAUCACCGUCAGAAUGAUCACAGUCAGCGUUUAGUGAGUGUUUACUACGUGCCAAGAGCUGUCCUGGGGCUUUGCAUACGUUCUGUCCUCUCCUCAUAAUAACCGUGAGGUAGGUACACGGAGAAGUUAACCCAGGGAGCACCCUGUGCCCCUCUGUGACUUCACAGCCCACUGCUCACUUCCUGCCCUCCCUUCCUUCAACUACGGAAGGAGCUCAUAAUCGUGUACCACAAAGUGGGUGUGCAGCCCGUGCAGACCAAUUAUUCACACAUAAGGGCUGGCGAUCACGCAGGCAGCGCUUCCCCCAUUUAUCCCCUCGCGUUCCUCUGUUUCUCCUCGCGCCUUUCGUUUUUCUGCUGCUUUUCACGUGUUAUUUUCGGUUCCCUUGCAGCCUUGUCCCACUCUCCCUCCCACAGUCUCUGGCCUUGUCCGCCGGUCCUCUGCUGCCCUCGUGUGGCUCUAGGUGGAAAGGCAGCUUCCCCAGCCCCACCCAAGGUGCGGCUGGGGAUGGAGCUGGGGAUGAGCGCGAGGGGAUCCAGGUGUGGAUGGUCGGCACGGGUUUGGCUCCGCGCCUUUGACCUGGUCUGUGCCCUGGAUUAACUUUGACCUAUUGUUGGUGGGGAGGAUAGACGCCUGAGCGUGGCCUCGGGUCUGUGUUAGCCUUGGGAAAGGCCACUCUCCUUCCCGGAGGGCCCCCUUCGCCUGUAAAUUUCGUGAAAUUCUAAGGGGAACUACGAGGGCCUCCGCAGGCCGAGUGCGAGUCACCCCGCAGACGCUCGCUGCGCAGCCGCAGCCGGGCUUUUCCUUUUUAAUAGUGGCUGGCCUAACCGAGGGUUAAGAAGGUUCGCAGAAGAAUUUAAUCACCUUCGGGCACCCAAUGGAAGACAAAGAUCAAAACUAAGCUGCUCCAAGCACUUUUCUUACUUCAGCCUCUGUUCAGAACUCAAUUGCCCUCCCACCAGAAACCUGAUUAUUCCCGAACUGAUUUUUUUUUUUUUUAUGUUUCACGGUAUUUAACUCUUUUCUGUUUUGAGUUUUUUUAAAAUUGCACAAGCAAUGCACGGUCAGUGUAGAAAGAUUAAAAACCACAGCAGAAGACUUCCAGUUAAUGAUAACAGGUUACACUUGAGCUUUUUUCCUUAAACUUAAAAUGACAACAGAGAUUUUAAAUCUACAAGGGCAAGAGAACAAGCAGAGGAGUCUGUAAUAGAGGAUGAAUUUUUUCUCCAGCUUUAUUGAGAAUCUCACAAAGUCACCAAGUUGCCCAGGCCGGGCUAGAACUUGUGAGCCUCCUGCCUGAGGCCUUUCCAGAGUGCUUUCCAACGUGCUGGGGUUACAAGUGGGCACCACUGUGCUCAGGUUUAGAAGUUUCAGUCCAUGAUUGGUUGACCUGGUUGCUUUGGGCCUGGUGAGAGGCAGCACAUCACGGCAGGUAAGUGUGGUACAGCAAAGCUGCUCACUUCAUGGUCAGGACAAAAGAAGAAAAGAGGAAGGGACUGGACUUCCACAAUCCCCUCUGAGACCAUGCCCCCAAAGACCUAAAGACCUCCCAUUACACCCGACCUUUCAAGGUUUCCAACACCUCCAAGAGUGCCAAGCUGGGGACCACAUCUUUACCACAUAGACCUCUGGGUCCCAUUCCAGAUCCCAACAGUAUCAG
Non-coding RNA from Heterocephalus glaber (naked mole-rat), 3067 nucleotides. NCBI's taxonomy places the organism in Eukaryota, Metazoa, Chordata, Mammalia, Rodentia, Bathyergidae. The record is from RefSeq and is a predicted model, not a curated record.